This 139-nucleotide ribosomal RNA is filed under the name uncultured bacterium. RNAcentral's name for it is "partial 16S ribosomal RNA". It matches the Rfam family "Bacterial small subunit ribosomal RNA", at positions 355 to 506 of the family's 1533-position model. The record is from RNAcentral.
UGGGGAAUAUUGCACAAUGGGCGCAAGCCUGAUGCAGCGACGCCGCGUGAGGGAUGACGGCCUUCGGGUUGUAAACCUCUUUCACCCAUGACGAAGCGCAAGUGACGGUAGUGGGAGAAGAAGCACCGGCCAACUACGU